CCCUUAGAUGUUCUGGGCUGCACGCGCGCUACACUGAUGCAUCCAACAAGUUUUUUCCUUGUUCGAGAGGACUAGGUAAUCUUUUGAGAAUGCAUCGUGAUGGGGAUAGAUUAUUGCAAUUAUUAAUCUUCAACGAGGAAUUCCUAGUAAGCGCGAGUCAUCAGCUCGUGCUGAUUAUGUCCCUGCCCUUUGUACACACCGCCCGUCGCACCUACCGAUUGGAUGGUCCGGUGAAGCCUCGGGAUUGUGGUUCUUGCCGCUUUAUUGUGGCGUGACCGCGAGAACUUGUCUAAACCUUAUCAUCUAGAGGAAGGUGAAGUCGUAACA
Molecule: ribosomal RNA, 327 nt
Filed under: uncultured eukaryote
Lineage: Eukaryota
Description: partial 18S ribosomal RNA
Rfam family: Eukaryotic small subunit ribosomal RNA
Source: RNAcentral